UGGGGAAUAUUGGACAAUGGGGGAAACCCUGAUCCAGCGACGUCGCGUGGGUGAUGAAGGUCUUAGGAUUGUAAAACCCUUUUAUAGAAGAAGAUAAUGACUGUAUUUUAUGAAUAAGCCCCGGCUAACUUCGUGCCAGCAGCCGCGGUAAUACGAAGGGGGCAAGCGUUAUUCGGAAUGACUGGGCGUAAAAGGCGUGUAGGUGGAUUUGUACGUUUGAUGUGAAAGUCCUGGGCUUAACCUAGGGAUUGCAUUGAAUACGGCAAGUCUAGAGCGUGAGAGGGGAAAACGGAAUUGCGGGUGUAGAGGUGAAAUUCGUAGAUAUCCGCAGGAACACCAAUGGCGAAGGCAGUUUUCUKGCUCAUGGCUGACACUGAGGCGCGAAAGCGUGGGGAGCAAACAGGAUUAGAUACCCUGGUAGUCCACGCCUUAAACGAUGGAUGCUCGAUGUCGGAACUUAGGUUUCGGUGUCUUAGCUAACGCGUUAAGCAUCCCGCCUGGGGAGUACGGCCGCAAGGUUA
This 521-nucleotide ribosomal RNA is filed under the name uncultured bacterium. RNAcentral describes it as "bacterial SSU rRNA". It matches the Rfam family "Bacterial small subunit ribosomal RNA", at positions 355 to 896 of the family's 1533-position model. The record is from RNAcentral.